CGGCGAGUGAAGCGGCAACAGCUCAAAUUUGAAAUCUGGCGUCCUCGGCGUCCGAGUUGUAAUUUGUAGAGGAUGCUUCUGGGCAGCCACCGGUCUAAGUUCCUUGGAACAGGACGUCAUAGAGGGUGAGAAUCCCGUAUGCGACCGGAAAGGCACCCUCCACGUAGCUCCUUCGACGAGUCGAGUUGUUUGGGAAUGCAGCUCUAAAUGGGAGGUAAAUUUCUUCUAAAGCUAAAUACUGGCCAGAGACCGAUAGCGCACAAGUAGAGUGAUCGAAAGAUGAAAAGCACUUUGGAAAGAGAGUUAAAAAGCACGUGAAAUUGUUGAAAGGGAAGCGUUUGCAACCAGACUUGCUCGCGGUGUUCCGCCGGUCUUCUGACCGGUUCACUCGCCGUGUUGCAGGCCAGCAUCGUCUGGGGCCGCCGGAUAAGACCUUGGUAAUGUAGCUCCCCCUCGGGGGAGUGUUAUAGACCAUGUUGAUGCGGCGCGUCCCGGGCGAGGUCCGCGCUUCGGCUAGGAUGCUGGCGUAAUGGUUGUAAACGGCCCGUCUUGAAACACGGACCAAGGAGUCUAACAUCUAUGCGAGUGUUCGGGUGUCAAACCCCUACGCGUAAUGAAAGUGAACGGAGGUGGGAACUUUAUUGUGCACCAUCGACCGAUCCUGAUGUCUCGGAUGGAUUUGAGUAAGAGCAUAGCU
Molecule: ribosomal RNA, 697 nt
Filed under: Rachicladosporium eucalypti
Lineage: Eukaryota; Fungi; Ascomycota; Dothideomycetes; Cladosporiales; Cladosporiaceae
Description: LSU rRNA
Rfam family: Eukaryotic large subunit ribosomal RNA
Source: RNAcentral